AAGCAUUUAUUAGAUAAAAAGCCAAUGCAUGCUUUUACAGUAUGAAAAUUGGUGAUUUAUAAUAACUUAGCAAAUCGUAAAGUGAAAACAGACGAUAAAUCAUUCAAGUUUCUGACCUAUCAGCUUUCGACGGUAUGGUAUUGGCUUACCGUGGCAGUGACGGUUAACGGGGGAUUAGGGUUCGAUUCCGGAGAGGGAGCCUGAGAAACGGCUACCACAUCUAAGGAAGGCAGCAGGCGCGCAAAUUACCCAAUUCUAACAGUUUGAGAGAGGUAGUAACAAGAAAUAACAAUACAAGGCAGUUAAAAUGCUUUGUAAUUGGAAUGAUAGAAAUUUAAACCCUUUUUAAAGUAUCAAUUGGAGGGCAAGUCUGGUGCCAGCAGCCGCGGUAAUUCCAGCUCCAAUAGCGUAUAUUAAAAUUGUUGCAGUUAAAAAGCUCGUAGUUGAAGUUCUGCUAAAAGUAACCGGUCUGCUUUUAAUAAAAGUGGUAUCUUGGUAUGUAUUUAGCAAUGAUGUCCUUUGAAGUGUUUUUUACUUUAUUGUAAUAAAGCAUAUUCAGGACUUUUACUUUGAGAAAAUUAGAGUGUUUCUAGCAGGCCGACGCUUUGAAUACUGCAGCAUGGAAUAAUAAGA
Molecule: ribosomal RNA, 633 nt
Filed under: Hepatozoon canis
Lineage: Eukaryota; Apicomplexa; Hepatozoidae
Description: bacterial SSU rRNA
Rfam family: Eukaryotic small subunit ribosomal RNA
Source: RNAcentral